UUUCCGUAGGUGAACCUGCGGAAGGAUCAUUACUGAGUCUGGGAUACCCUUCACCGGGACCCGACCUCCAACCCUUUUGUGAACCACCUCGUUGCUUCGGGGGCGACCCUGCCGUUCGCGGCGUGGGGCCCCCGGAGCCCAUCAAACCCUGCGUAACUAAGUCGUCGGAGUUUAAACAAAUUAAACAAAACUUUCAACAACGGAUCUCUUGGUUCGGGCAUCGAUGAAGAACGCAGC
RNAcentral lists this unclassified non-coding RNA (237 nucleotides) under uncultured fungus. RNAcentral's name for it is "sequence contains ITS1, 5.8S rRNA gene". The stretch from base 189 to 237 matches the Rfam family "5.8S ribosomal RNA", at positions 1 to 49 of the family's 154-position model. The record is from RNAcentral. Lineage: Eukaryota; Fungi.